This 468-nucleotide ribosomal RNA is filed under the name uncultured bacterium. RNAcentral's name for it is "partial 16S ribosomal RNA". It matches the Rfam family "Bacterial small subunit ribosomal RNA", at positions 28 to 507 of the family's 1533-position model. The record is from RNAcentral.
GACGAACGCUGGCGGCGUGCUUAACACAUGCAAGUCGAACGGAAAGGCCCUGCUUUUGUGGGGUGCUCGAGUGGCGAACGGGUGAGUAACACGUGAGUAACCUGCCCUUGACUUUGGGAUAACUUCAGGAAACUGGGGCUAAUACCGGAUAGGAGCUCCUGCUGCAUGGGGGGGGUUGGAAAGUUUCGGCGGUUGGGGAUGGACUCGCGGCUUAUCAGCUUGUUGGUGGGGUAGUGGCUUACCAAGGCUUUGACGGGUAGCCGGCCUGGGAGGGUGACCGGCCACAUUGGGACUGAGAUACGGCCCAGACUCCUACGGGAGGCAGCAGUGGGGAAUAUUGCACAAUGGGCGGAAGCCUGAUGCAGCAACGCCGCGUGCGGGAUGACGGCCUUCGGGUUGUAAACCGCUUUCGCCUGUGACGAAGCGUGAGUGACGGUAAUGGGUAAAGAAGCACCGGCUAACUUCGUG